RNAcentral lists this ribosomal RNA (497 nucleotides) under uncultured bacterium. Its description in RNAcentral is "partial 16S ribosomal RNA". It matches the Rfam family "Bacterial small subunit ribosomal RNA", at positions 28 to 507 of the family's 1533-position model. The record is from RNAcentral.
GAUGAACGCUGGCGGCGUGCCUAAUACAUGCAAGUCGAGCGAACAGACGAGGAGCUUGCUCCUCUGACGUUAGCGGCGGACGAGUGAGUAACACGUGGAUAACCUACCUAUAAGACUGGGAUAACUUCGGGAAACCGGAGCUAAUACCGGAUAAUAUAUUGAACCGCAUGGUUCAAUAGUGAAAGACGGUUUUGCUGUCACUUAUAGAUGGAUCCGCGCCGCAUUAGCUAGUUGGUAAGGUAACGGCUUACCAAGGCAACGAUGCGUAGCCGACCUGAGAGGGUGAUCGGCCACACUGGAACUGAGACACGGUCCUGACUCCUACGGGAGGCAGCAGUAGGGAAUCUUCCGCAAUGGGCGAAAGCCUGACGGAGCAACGCCGCGUGAGUGAUGAAGGUCUUCGGAUCGUAAAACUCUGUUAUUAGGGAAGAACAAAUGUGUAAGUAACUAUGCACGUCUUGACGGUACCUAAUCAGAAAGCCACGGCUAACUACGUG